This 164-nucleotide ribosomal RNA is filed under the name uncultured bacterium. RNAcentral's name for it is "partial 16S ribosomal RNA". It matches the Rfam family "Bacterial small subunit ribosomal RNA", at positions 355 to 511 of the family's 1533-position model. The record is from RNAcentral.
UAGGGAAUCUUCCACAAUGGACGAAAGUCUGAUGGAGCAACGCCGCGUGAGUGAAGAAGGGUUUCGGCUCGUAAAACUCUGUUGUUAAAGAAGAACAUAUCUGAGAGUAACUGUUCAGGUAUUGACGGUAUUUAACCGGAAAGCCACGGCUAACUACGUGCCAG